CGAGCCAGUUCCUUCCCCAAAAAUAAAUAUUACACUGGAAAAUGUCAACACUGACCGGUGCAAUAUCACGCUAUAUUGUUUUGUGAUGUCAAGCGCGUCAAUGCUGAGCUUUGUAUGGAAAUACGGGAACCAGGAGCAAGAGAGCUAUGGAAAUGGAUUCAGAAUUGAGCUGUCACUGACCCCUAAAGACUCGAGCAUGGAGUUCCAUUGUCUGGUUCGAAACCCUGUUUCCCAAAACAUGGCAUCUGUACUCCCACCACAGAACUGCACAAUUAUAC
This is a non-coding RNA of Pelobates cultripes (western spadefoot toad), 278 nucleotides long. Lineage: Eukaryota; Metazoa; Chordata; Amphibia; Anura; Pelobatidae. The record is from the annotation of a GenBank genome assembly.